Molecule: ribosomal RNA, 204 nt
Filed under: Triticum aestivum (bread wheat)
Lineage: Eukaryota; Viridiplantae; Streptophyta; Magnoliopsida; Poales; Poaceae
Description: partial small subunit ribosomal RNA
Source: RNAcentral
AUGCAAUUGGUACGGUCUAGCAAGACUGCUAUAAACAUUAAGGGAGAGGUGGGACCUUUCUUUGCGGCAUCAGCGGGGGUGAAGCAAGGGGACCCGAUAUCCCCCCUUCUCUUCAACCUUGCCGUGGACGCGUUGGCAGGUAUCCUGGACAAGGCUAGGCAUGCCGGCCACAUCUCGGGGGUGGUCGGCCACCUCAUUCCAGGA